Molecule: ribosomal RNA, 500 nt
Filed under: uncultured bacterium
Lineage: Bacteria
Description: partial 16S ribosomal RNA
Rfam family: Bacterial small subunit ribosomal RNA
Source: RNAcentral
AUUGAACGCUGGCAGCAUGCUUUACACAUGCAAGUCGAACGGUAACAGGGUGCUUGCACCGCUGACGAGUGGCGAACGGGUGAGUAAUGCGUCGGAACGUGCCGAGUAGUGGGGGAUAACGCAGCGAAAGUUGUGCUAAUACCGCAUACGUACUGAGGUAGAAAGUGGGGGACCUUCGGGCCUCACGCUAUUCGGGCGGCCGACGUCUGAUUAGCUAGUAGGUGGGGUAAAGGCUCACCUAGGCGACGAUCAGUAGCGGGUCUGAGAGGAUGAUCCGCCACACUGGGACUGAGACACGGCCCAGACUCCUACGGGAGGGAGCAGUGGGGAAUUUUGGACAAUGGGCGAAAGCCUGAUCCAGCCAUGCCGCGUGUCUGAAGAAGGCCUUCGGGUUGUAAAGGACUUUUGUCAGGGAGGAAAUCCCUAGUGCUAAUAACACUGGGGGAUGACAGUACCUGAAGAAUAAGCACCGGCUAACUACGUGCCAGCCGCCGCAGUAA